This 468-nucleotide ribosomal RNA is filed under the name uncultured bacterium. RNAcentral describes it as "partial 16S ribosomal RNA". It matches the Rfam family "Bacterial small subunit ribosomal RNA", at positions 28 to 507 of the family's 1533-position model. The record is from RNAcentral.
GACGAACGCUGGCGGCGUGCUUAACACAUGCAAGUCGAACGGCAAGGCCCUGCUUUUGUGGGGUGCUCGAGUGGCGAACGGGUGAGUAACACGUGAGUAACCUGCCCUUGACUUUGGGAUAACUUCAGGAAAGUGGGGCUAAUACCGGAUAGGAGCUCCUGCUGCAUGGUGGGGGUUGGAAAGUUUCGGCGGGUGGGGAUGGAUUGGCGGGUUAUGAGCUAGUUGGUGGGGUAGUGGCUUACCAAGGCAUAGACGGGUAGCCGGCCUGAGAGGGUGGCCGGCCACAUUGGGACUGAGAUACGGCCCAGACUCCUACGGGAGGCAGCAGUGGGGAGUAUGGCACAGUGGGCGGGAGCCUGAUGCAGCAACGCCGCGUGCGGGAUGACGGCCUUCGGGUUGAAAACCGCUUUCGCCUGUGACGAAGCGUGAGUGACGGUAAUGGGUAAAGAAGCACCGGCUAACUACGUG